RNAcentral lists this ribosomal RNA (645 nucleotides) under uncultured bacterium. RNAcentral's name for it is "bacterial SSU rRNA". It matches the Rfam family "Bacterial small subunit ribosomal RNA", at positions 232 to 885 of the family's 1533-position model. The record is from RNAcentral.
CGCGGCCUAUCAGCUUGUUGGUGAGGUAACGGCUCACCAAGGCGACGACGGGUAGCUGGUCCGAGAGGACGAUCAGCCACACUGGGACUGAGACACGGCCCAGACUCCUACGGGAGGCAGCAGCAGGGAAUAUUGCACAAUGGGCGAAAGCCUGAUGCAGCGACGCCGCGUGAGGGAUGAAGGCCUCCGGGUCGUAAACCUCUUUCAGGAGGGACGAAGCGCAAGUGACGGUACCUCCAGAAGAAGCCCCGGCCAACUACGUGCCAGCAGCCGCGGUAAUACGUAGGGGGCAAGCGUUGUCCGGAUUCAUUGGGCGUAAAGAGCUCGUAGGCGGCUCGGUAAGUCGGCCGUGAAAUCCCGGAGCUCAACUCCGGGAGGCCGGUCGAUACUGCCGUGGCUAGGGUCCGGUAGAGGAGAGUGGAAUUCCCGGUGUAGCGGUGAAAUGCGCAGAUAUCGGGAGGAACACCUGUAGCGAAGGCGGCUCUCUGGGCCGGCACCGACGCUGAGGAGCGAAAGCUAGGGGAGCAAACAGGAUUAGAUACCCUGGUAGUCCUAGCUGUAAACGUUGGGUACUAGGUGUGGCGGAUUGAUUGAUGUCUGCUGUGCCGUAGCAAACGCAUUAAGUACCCCGCCUGGGGAGUACGG